Molecule: ribosomal RNA, 605 nt
Filed under: Papuadytes sp. MB138
Lineage: Eukaryota; Metazoa; Arthropoda; Insecta; Coleoptera; Dytiscidae
Description: partial 16S ribosomal RNA
Rfam family: Bacterial large subunit ribosomal RNA
Source: RNAcentral
CGNGCCCACUGAAAUUUUUAAAUGGCCGCAGUAAUUUGACUGUGCAAAGGUAGCAUAAUCAUUAGUUUUUUAAUUAAAAGCUUGUAUGAAUGGUUGGACGAGGUAAAUUCUGUCUUUAUUUAAAUAAAAUUAGAAUUUAAUUUUUAAGUUAAAAAGCUUAAAUAUAUAUAAAAGACGAGAAGACCCUAUAGAUCUUUAUAUUAUUAUAAUAUAAUUUUAAUAAAGAAUUUUUAAUUUUUUAUUUUAUAUAGUAUUUUAUUGGGGUAAUAAAAAGAUUGAGUUAAUUCUUUUUUAUUUUUUACAUUAAUUUAUGAAUUUAAUGAUCCAAAGUUUUUGAUUAUAAGAUUAAGUUACCUUAGGGAUAACAGCGUAAUUUUUUUAGAGAGUUCAUAUCGAUAAAAAAGUUUGCGACCUCGAUGUUGGAUUAAAAAUUGUUUUAGGCGCANAAGUUUAAAAAUUUGGUCUGUUCGACCAUUAAAUUUUUACAUGAUCUGAGUUCAGACCGGUGUAAGCCAGGUCGGUUUCUAUCUUUAUAGUUUUUUAAAUAUUUUAGUACGAAAGGACCAAAUAUUUAAUAUAUUAAUAUUUAUAAUUUGAAUAUUAUU